AACGCACAUUGCGCCCUUUGGUAUUCCUUAGGGCAUGCCUGUUCGAGCGUCAUUUCAACCCUCAAGCACAGCUUGGUGUUGGGCGCCUGUCCCGCCUACGGUGCGGACUCGCCUCGAAACAAUUGGCGGCCCUUCCAGCGGCUCUGAGCGCAGCAGAAUUGCGUCUCUGGCGGCGGGGAGUGGCGACCAGAAGCUUUUUUUUAAGUUUGACCUCGGAUCAGGUAGGGAUACCCGCUGAACUUAA
RNAcentral lists this unclassified non-coding RNA (244 nucleotides) under uncultured fungus. Its description in RNAcentral is "sequence contains ITS2". Lineage: Eukaryota; Fungi. The record is from RNAcentral.